GAAAUGCGAUAAGUAAUGUGAAUUGCAGACUUACGUGAAUCAUCGAAUCUUUGAACGCAUAUUGCGCUCACUGGUAUUCCGGUGAGCAUGUCUGUUUGAGUAUCAGUACACCCAUCUCUAACCCUCUCACGAGGUGUUGAGGAACAAGGUUGAGUAGCCCAGCGAGUUUUGACUGGCUGACUCGAAAAGUUGGUGCAAGUGUGUGUUAACAAAAUGAUGGCGGUUGAUGUUCAUGUUGACCCUGUCCGCAUGACUUCGCAGACCUUCACACACCAAUGUCCACAUCCUGUGGUAAGUGAGUGUCAUAACUCACAUAUCAAAUCCAGGUUGGAGGAUAUUCUUUGUUGUUGGUUUGUGUAUGGACUCGGGGUUCGACGGAAGAUCCAUUCGACAUCAAAAAAACAUACAAAUGAUUGCUUGCAUGUUGUAGUACGGAAUGACUUGCUCAUUCCAACCUUUAUCUAACUUGAUCUCAAAUCAGGCAAGAGUACCCGCUGAAGUUAAGC
This 506-nucleotide unclassified non-coding RNA is filed under the name plant metagenome. RNAcentral's name for it is "partial contains 5.8S ribosomal RNA, internal transcribed spacer 2, and large subunit ribosomal RNA". The stretch from base 1 to 105 matches the Rfam family "5.8S ribosomal RNA", at positions 50 to 154 of the family's 154-position model. The record is from RNAcentral.